Molecule: long non-coding RNA, 2061 nt
Organism: Mus musculus (house mouse)
Lineage: Eukaryota; Metazoa; Chordata; Mammalia; Rodentia; Muridae
Product: predicted gene 20471
Exons: 3
Source: RefSeq, a predicted model, not a curated record
AUUACAGGCAUGUGUGCGAAGGGCCUUGAAAUCCUUCUGUCUGUGUUGUGAGGCAUGCUGGCUCUUCUCAGCAUGUGGGGGAGCAGUAAUAACAAUUUAAUUCUAAACAAGCCAAAGAGAGUCUGCCUCUACCGUUCAUAAAUGAGGCACUACUCCUUGUCACCUUCUAUUCUAUGUAGAGAUGGGCAGGCCCUUGGGGAAAUCUUUACUUGGUUCUAUACCCCAUAGCACCCCAGCAUUCUGUGAGCUGACUACAGAGUGUCUUCUUGGCCCUUAUGUGGAGGCUGGAGGUGCUUUGUGCAAAUCAGAGCCUCUGGAUGGAAGAGGGAAUGAGAGAAGCGUACACAGACACUCAACGAAUCCUCAUUUCAAGAUUCAUCCAGUUCAUGUCUGGUUGCUGGUACCUAACUCAUCAUCCUGGACAGCCAUGGAAGACCAAUGGUGAAUGAGACUUGUCAUCGAACCUCAUCCAGCACCGCUUAGUUUCAGCUGAGUCCUGCUUCCCAGCGCCCAGACCUUUGCAGAAGUCUCCCAUCUCUCCCAACAAACAUCCCGGUCUAAGAGCUUGGCCCAGCUGUCUUCCACAUCCCUAGCCAGUCCCAUUCUGCACAAUGAAGGAUGCAAACUUCUAGACUUUUCCACAGUCUGGGGGAGAAGAGGAAGCCAUUCAGGGGACAACUUAGUACUCACAAACAAGCCAGCUCUUUCCACCACUUUAUUUUGAUUCAAGAUAGAGUUCCACGAGGUUACCACUUUCCAAAGAUCUGGAUGAAAAGUGGGUUUUUGAAAAGACCAUGAAAUUGGCAGGAUGCCCUAAAAGGAGAGUGGAUAAGGCUAGGAGGCUAAUCCUCCACUUCUCCCCUCUCUUUUUCUUACUUCCAUCAAGUUGGAUGACAGGAUAGCCUCACCCCCAUCACUUAUGUUUUAUGAAGUUGCUGUAGCAUUGGAAAUCUGAUAUUGAAGUAAUAUGUCCUAAUUCUUAGUGAUUUAUAGGAGUUUUAAAAAAAUAGAAACAUAUUUUCUUUUCCCCAGGGCUUGCCCACUAAGAAUGUUAUCAUAAAAAUAAUUCAAAGGUCUGUUCCCUGUUUAAUCAAUUGUUGAAUUAUCAACUACUUUUUUUUCAGUUUCUACUUUAUGCCUUUGUGCAGAGUCUGUUUCUGAAUAACUUACAGUUACAUGUAUUUCAAGUUUUUAAAAACUGUAUAUUUUAAGAUUUACUAUAUUAUGACCUAUUUACCACAUCUUGAACUUAAAAUUGAAUGUAUAGAUUUAUAUUUCAUAUGCUGAUGUUCUAUGUUUCUUCAUGUGUAUGUGUGUGCUGUGUGUAUGCAGGUGCAUGUGUAUGUAGAGCCCAGAGGACAGCCUUGGCUGCCUCCCUUAGGAAUGCCAUUUACUCCUUUGCGACAGGGCCUAUAAUUAGCUCAGUGCUCACCAAGUAGGCUAGACUGGCUGGUCAGCCGGUCCCAGGAAUUCUCAGGAAUUCUCUAGUCUUCAGUCUCUGCCACCCCAGGAUGUCACUGUGCCCAGUAUUUUUACAUGAGUUCUGGUACUCAAUCUCAGGUUCUCUUGUUUGCAAGACAAGGGCUUUGGAGACUGAGCCAUUCUUCCUGCUUCUGUUACAUUUUAAAAAUAUGCUCCCUCAUUGUAAACUUAGAAACUACAAUGGAAACACCAAAAAGGGUGGCAUGACACUGCAUAGACAACCAAAAAUGCCUAGAAUGGUUUUCCUUUUGAUAAUUUGGUACCAGAGAAACAAAUAAGUUCCUUUGUUAGAAUUUAACAGCUUUUUCGAUGAUACACACAGGAUUUUCAUGCAAAUAUGUGAAAUGUGGAUCCUGUGUUAAGAAGCCAUUUAAGAUUUACGCUAGGCAUAGUGACACAUCUGAAGGAGGGGAAUCACAAAUUUAAGAACUGUCUGGGUUACAGAGUGAAUUAUAGUGAGCCUCUGCCUCAAAAUAAAAAGUUGGAUAGUUAGGUAUAUAGCUUUAUGAUAGAAUGUUCAUCUAAUAUUAUUCAUGAAGUUCUGGGUUCAUUCCCUAGCAACGCACACACACACACACA